AUAUAUAUAUAUAUAUAUAUUCAUUUAUUAUAUAUAUUAUUUUAUUUUUAUUUUUAUAUAGAAAUAUUUAUAUGAUAUUUUAUUUAUAAAUUUGUAAUUAGUUAUUAAUAUUUUUAAAUAUAUAAAUCUUAUAUAUUAUUAAUAUAUGUUUAUUAUUAAUAUAUGAAUAUAUUUAAUUUAUAUAUGAAAAUUAUAAUAAUAAUAUAUAUAGUAUAUUAAUUAUUAUAUAUUUAAUAUAUAGCCGAAUUUUUGAUCCCGAAUUUUUAAUUGGUGAACGUAUAAGAUCCGUAUAAAACACGUAUCCGAAUAAUUACCGAAUCCGUUUUUUAGCCGUAUUUUUUAACGAAUUUAAAAAUUAAAAGACGAAUUUUAUCCGAAUUAUACCCGUACCGAAUUUUUGCCGAAUCCGAAUUAACUAACUAUGGUCUAAAUGCAUUUAUGCAUCAAAUGGGUUAUGUAAAAGGGGCAAAUGAGAUAUUUCUCUCAUUCUCUCCCUCUCACACCCUCUCAUAUCUCUCUCUCUAGGAGGAGAAAAAGAAGGAGAAAAAGGAGGAGAAGUUAGAGGAGAAGGAGGCUAAAGGAGGAUCAUCAUCUUCCUCUUCCUCCUAGGUUCAAGAAAAGGCAAGCUUUGAGGUAAGCUUUGCCCCCUCUCAUGGUAGAACCCUAAGUAGGGUUUAGAAUGACCUAAGAAUGGUUUUGUUGGGAUCCUUGGAUGGUAACAAGCUUGUUUUUGCUUGUGGUAGAGAUCAAACCAAGAGUUUUGUAUAUAUGUGAAAGCUAGGGCACCCAAAUUGGGGCUAUUGCACUGGAGGGAUUUAGAUCAAAAUUGAUCGUACAGAAACCUAAUUGGGAGUGUUUCCGAUGCGUUGAUGCGCUCGGAUUGACGUUAUGAAAGGUCUAUGCGGAGUUAUGAGCGAAAAAGCCUAAUUUGGCUUCGUUUGCUGCAUGCAAGAAAAUAGGCGGCCAAAAAUCGUGAAAUUUGAACCCGAGCACCUUAGCAAGCCUACGAGGUGGGUGGUGCUUUCCAAACUCUUUGCAAUUCCUUCUAUGUCUAUAUGUCACUUAUUGAGCAUGUAUGUUUAUAGCUUUUCAUGCAUAAUAGGGUGAAAUGAGAGUAUAUGUUGCAUGCUUAUAGUUAAGAUGCAUUCGAUAUGGUUGAGAACCAAUAAGAAUUGUAUAACCCUAUAUGUGCAUGUAUGAUAACAAGAACUUAGCAAAGUUAUAGAACAAGUGCCAUUUUGACAUAGAGGACAAUGGGACAUUGUGAUAUUGAGUACUAGAGUUAUACACCUAGUAAAGUAGUUUGGCAAAGAACAAUAAAUGCUAGAGUUAGCAUCAAGUGUGGCAAAGAACAAUAAAUGCUAGAGUUAGCAUCAAGUGUGGCAUAAAGAACACUAGAGUUAGUAUAAUCGCAUGAUCGAAAACAAAAAAGGCAAAGAACAUGAGAUUGAGACAUAAUGAUAUAUAACCUUAUAGUUAAGGGUCAUUGGUGCAUGGUUUCCUUAUAGUUAAGGUAUAGAUUGAACUUGAUAUCCUUUAAGUUAAGGAUUGGAUCAUACUCGCCUUAGUCCUUGCUCGGUGGGCGGUAGCUCCUCCACGAGCGAUGUGCUCCGGAGUUUGACAUCACUGGGUCGUAGUAGUUUCUCUCCAGAGGACGGUCCCGUCGGGUCGUAGGAGUUUCUCCCCGACAUUGGGAUUUCGAGUGGUGAGUUGUUUUGAGGCGAAACCCCCGGGUUAGCCGUGAGAUUGAGAUUGUGACUUGAACAAGAACCAUGCUUUCAUCAUGAGUAUUAUUGUUGAGCAUCUUUAUUGAUCGCAUUUGUUCAGGCAUAUUAGUUGCAUAUUAUAGUUGGUUAGUUAUCUAUUUGCUUCUUUCUAUUAUGCCUGAGAUAGACCUAGUGGAAAAGUCGGUGAGAUUGGGGCCGAACCCACUGGAAACUUUGUUGUACUUCUCACCCCACUAUUUCCACAGAGCCGGGACAGAGCGAGCCCGUCACCGACCGCGGUAAAGGUAUCGCGUCGUAGAUAGAGACUACCCGAGUCAGAUUUCAUAUUUUGCUAGUUGCAUUCCCUUAUAUCAUCUUUUGUAUUCGAUGAUUCGAAAUGUUAAAGAAAAGAAUGUAAACCUUCUAUUUUGAGGCAAUGUGAUGUAAAAAGAUAUGAUGAAAAGCAAUGUAAAGGCAAAUGUGUAUGUGGUAAAGAAUCAUGAAUGUAAAGGUUGAAUGCUUGUAAAUGGUUAAAAGUAAAUCAUUUUACUUGUAUGUUGUAUAGAUUAGUAUUCUUUCACUUGGCUAUUGCUUACCCUCGUGUAAGCCAUUAUGUAUGUUUCCGCUUGUGCAUUCUCUUUACUUGAAUUGUACAUGUAUUGAGCUUUGGGCGGACAGGGGAGGCUCUGUCCGUUCGGCGUCUGUUCGACGUGCCCGGACCGGCCAAAGGGAUCGGUCCCGGGGCGUGACAUCAUAAGUUAUCCAGCAGUAGACUUACAGGAGGAUUUAAACUAUGAUCAAUAUCCAGUUAGCAUCCUCGGUUGAUAAGAAAAGUCAUUGUGGGAUUACUCAAUUCCAAGUCAAGUGCUAUGGAGCAACCUUGAGGAGCGAGAAACUACUUGGGAGCUCGAGAUCACUAUGUAAGAGCAGUUUUCUUAUUUAUUCAGGCAAUCACUAAUGGUGAAAUUUUCUCAUUUAUUCGGGCAACUGAUUUGAGGUAUGGAAUUUCAAGUUUCGCACACGAAACUUCUUAUUAGGAGGGAAGGAUGUAAUGCACUAAACUUUUGCAAGUUGUGAAGUUCUAGUGAGAAAUAGUGACUGGAAAUUAUUUCAAAAACCUCAAGGGUGCUUGUGGGAGGAUUUAAGCUACAAUGAAUAUCCAGUUAACAUUCUCAAUUGGCAAGAAAAGGCAUUAUAGAAUCACUCGAUUUUAUAUAUCAAAGUGUUAUUAACCAUGAGAAGCGAAAAGCUACUUGGGAGCUCGAGAGCACUAUACAACAAUUUUCUCAUUUAUUCGGGCAAUCGAUUUGAGGUAUGGAAUUGUUAGCUGACGAAAACCCUUAUUUGGAAGGCAGGAUGUAAUGCAUUGAAUGUUUGCAAGUUCGUGUGUGAGAGUCAAUUAAUUAUUUUCAACGUGAAAACAUAAUUUAAAUAGCUAAAUCUGAACACACACACACACACACACACACACACACACACACACACACACACACUAUAGAUUUACAGUGGGUAUAAGUACUAGAUUGGGGUAUCGACCAAUACUUAGUUGCAUGGAGGCUAAGGAAGCCAUCAGAUUUUGCCGAACUCACCCACAUAUCUGUACUACUAUUACGAGUACCAAUGCUGAUGUUGUGGGCACUGGUACACAAUAAAAACUAAAGGAAAACAAUAUUCAAGUUCUGCGAAAACGUCCUAGAGUACUGGUACACUUAAGCCAUGUAUCGAUCUUGGAAUUUGAGUACUAGUACAUAAUAUUGCAAACAAUAGAUUUUGGGGUGUUGUAAGUAUGAUUAGUUAGAGAUUUUAAGCAUAAUUAGUACACAUCAAUAUAACCCAUUUCAAUAGCUAAAACCCUAGUUUUCUAUUUCUCCUCUACCCUUCCUCUCCAUAUCCUCUUUCUCUCUCUAGAAUCGAAGAGGAAUUCGCGAAGCCCUAGAUCUCAUUGUUGAAGCUUAGAAUUAAUCUCGUUGAAUUUGGAAAUGGUGAAGAGCUUCAACAGAAGCUCUACGAAGAAGAAUAAGCUUUUCUCUUCCACAUUUUGAGUGCUAUAGGAGGAGGGAUAUGUUGGUAUUUUAAGGUUUUGGUUCUAGAGUUUUUCAAAAUGAAUGUUUUUGGGAUUUUAACCUUGUUAGAGCUAUUUUUUAGAAUUUCUUGGUGAUUUCAAGAAAUCAAGACAAUCACCUUGUGCAAGAUCUAGCAAAGGAGGAGAAUAUUAUCGAAAAUCAUUUGAUAUCCUCUUUGUCUAAAGAUUUCUUUGAUUUUAUGCAUGUUUAAUAUGUUAUUGCAAACUAAAGGUAUCGUAGUGGCAUGCUAAUGAAACUUGUAGUUCAAGAUGGCUUGUGAGCAUUUAGAAAAAUAGGGUUUUAACUCUUGUGUGAAUAAAGAAAAAUGGAUAAAGGACAUGUAAAUGACGAUCUUGAGAUAUAGAUAUAUAAAACAAGUGUGGUAUCUAACUUAGAUCAAAACAUAAUGUUGGAAAUAGUGAUAUGUGAACUCUAAGCUAAAUGUGAACUGGAGAACAAAUGUGAGUGUAAUGGAUAAUGUGGUUAACCUUAGAAGUUAUGAACUUAAGAUAAAAUAGCAAAACAGGUGCGACCCUCUAGAAGUGUCAAGAAAAGGGACGAGCUCGAGAGAUAUCGACUUCCAAUGAGAUACUUGGAGAGCACGACAGGAAUCGACCUCAUUUACCUACCGAUUGGGGAAGAGUGCAAGAGAAAUUGACUCUCCAUAGGGUGGAAGUAAGUGAAACCAAACAAAUAAGUUAGUUAAAAUUAUGAGAUGAGUUGUAGUGCAUAGUAAAAACUAAUCAAAUAGAUAGUUAAGGACAUGUGGCAAAUUGGGUAAAUAUAGAAACAUUGACUUAGUGGCAUCUUAUAUACAUUAAGGCAUUGAAGUUGUAACUAAAUUUAUUGCAUUUCCUUAGUAGAAAUAUCUGUUUCUUUCAUUAGUUAUCUAUCCUUUGAACUGAGUGAGUGUAGAGCCCUAUUUUAGGCGGUUGCACCUACUGGGAACUAACUAUAGUUCUUACCUCUUUACUGUUUACCCUUUUUUAGAGCCUACGAUCUCCGGGGAGGCGUGUGACCAUGCCAAAGGUGUCGCAGAGUGGAUAGACUAAGUGAGAGGUCUAAAAAGAACAAAUUUGUAAAAUAAUAUUUUGUAAUUGAAUGAUGUAAACUUUAUGUUUAAAGUCUAAGUUGAAAUGAUUUAGAUGUUAGCAGUAUAACUCUGAUGCUUCAUAUAUUCAUUUCAUGCAUAUUUUGUACACAUUGGUAUAUCUUUCUACUUCGUGUGGGUAGGAAAAACUCUGUCCGUUCGGCAUGUCUAUUGCACAUGCCCAAGCGAGCCUAAUUGGCGGUCUCCGGCCGUGACAUUUUUAUAUUCUUUUGCGUUGUUUUCUGUAAGACCCUGGGUAGUCCUAUAUAUGAGAUAUAAUAUGACUAAAUUUUUUAACCUGGCUAUAGCAUUUUGUGAGGUGGCUAGGCCCAAGAGGUUAAGAGAGUUAAGCGUGUUAGGGCUAGAGUAGUCCUCAGAAGGGUGACUCUCUAGGAAGUAGGGCGUCAUAGUUAGUAUCAAAGUCAAUUAUUAGCCGGAAGUGUGAGAUGAUGCUCGGCUGACCCAGAUAAUAUAACGAGCAAAACGAGCCUCUUUGGCUGAUGACUGUUGUGGAUCGAUCGAGCACGGCUCCCCCACAAGGUCGGUUAAAGCUAGUGAAACGAGUCUCACAUCGCUUGGUACUUGUGAGUCUGAACCUGAUGAGGAUGUCAGGGCUUAAAGUUGGAAAAAAUGUGAGACCCCCCCAGGUAGUCCUAUAUAUAAGAUAUAAUAGGACUAAAUCUGUUAACCAGGUUAUAGCAUUUUGGACAGCGACUGGACCCAAAAAGUUAAGAAAGUUAAGUGUGCUAGGAUUAAAGUAGUCUUAGGAUGAGUGACCCUCUGGAAGUUGGGCGUCACAUUUUCGCACCAAGAUAGUUCUAACUCAACUCAAACUCUGCCAACACCUCUCAAAUGGUACCAUAAGCCAUUUUACAGUGGACCUUAGCAAUUUACAAAGUGCAGCAUACUACAGUGACACUAGUGCUUUAGUUUCCAGACAUUAAUUAGUUACAAUUUCUGACAGUAUAAGGUAUGUGACAUUUUAGUACUUAAACUUUCUAAAUUGCUGCAAUAUCCUACUUGAUAAUGCAAUAAUAAUUUUGAUGGUACAUCACUUUGAUAUAAGAUGCAGAAAAAUCAAAAUCCAUUGAAUUUUUAAUAGAAAAUUUUAUUCACUAUAUAAAUUAAGAUAAAUAAUUUCUUUCUUAAAUUUAAAAAUUCUAUCCCAGCCCUAUUUUUAAGAAUUGAUCGAUUUUCACCUUUUAUUUUAUAUCAACUUGAUAACUUUAUUAUAAAUUUAAAAUAUUACGGAAUUCAAUUUUUAAAUACUUUAAAUACUCUAGAACAUACUUAAUAAUACGGAUCGUCGAUUCAGAAUCUCAAUCAUCAAAAACGACUUAUAUAUGAGUGCAUAGAUCUUUAUACUUAUAAAAGGACAGUACCUCACUCUCUCUCUCUCAAAAUGUACACACUGCACUUAAUAUUAAAUGAUUAAUUAUUUCAAAAUUAAAAUCUAACUUAAUAAAUAUAGUUUAUAUUAUUUUUUAUAAAAAAGGCUAUUAUUUAAAAAAUUAUAUAUUUUAAGAAUCAAUUAUCUAGACAUCAAGUACUCGCAAAAAUUAAUUGAAUCGUAAAAAUUGUUAUUUCAGUUGUAAGAACUGUUCCAACAGAAUUUAUUAUCUUUGUCACUAGCCAUUUUUAAAUAUCAUAAAAUCCAGUGUGUUAAAUUUUAAUUUAAAAGCUCAAUCAUAAGGUUUUAAUAAAGAGAGCGAGUGUAUCUAAUAUGUACUUAUACACAGGGUGCAGGCAAUAACUUCAAAUAAUUAUAUAUCCAAUACAUAGAGUUGCUGUGGCUUCAUGUUCAUGUCCUAUGCAUUCGUACCCAUUCUGAAUACCUUAGACAUAAAAAAGCAAUCUGCAUGACAAAGGACAACGUCGCACAGUGUCGACCAUAAAGUUGAGGUACGUGUGUGUGUGUAUAUAUAUAUAUAUAUAUAUAUAUAUAUAUAUAUAUUAUAGAGAGAGAGAAGAGAGAGAGAGAGAGAGAGAGAGGCUAGAGCUACUAUCUUAUUAAUAGGAUAGGAGCACUUGUCCUAUCAAAUUGUUCUUGAUGAUCGAGAUUACGAAUCGAUGAUCGAGCGUUGAAGUUGAUCUAGAGUAUUUAAAAUAUCUAGAAACUAAAUUUUAUAAAUUUUAAAAUUUAUUUACAUGAUGAUCAAAUGUCGUAAAAUCGACAAUUUUUGACGGCCUAUAUGAGCUGUUUGCUUGUUUAAUGGUCUAGAGCAAUCCAAACUGCUUGAAUUUUUAUAGAAAUUUUUAUACUAUUUAGAUAAAUAUUUGAUAAAUCUGAUUAUGAAUUGAGAACGUCUAACCUCUAUUUAAGAAGGUUAUACAUUUAUGACCGUUCAUUUUUUAACUCUUAAGAUGAACUUGAUAAUGAUUUUUAAAUAUUACAAAAUUUAGUUUCUAAACAUUCUAAUUGUGUAGAUCAAUUUCAAGCGUGCCGAUUAUCAAUUUGAAGUUCCGAUCAAUCAAAACGACUUGAUAGGACAAUAGCUCCAAUCCUAUUAAUAGGAUAGUAGCCGACUCUAUAUAUAUAUAUAGAGUGGGCUGGUAUGCUUAUGAAACACGGAGCCCUCCGUGCUUCCAAGUUGUUUUCGACGUUCGGACUUUCGAAUUAUGAUCGCUCCGUUAGCGUUGAUCUAGAGUAUUUGAAGUACCUAGAAAAUAAAUUUUGUGAUUUUUCGAUAUCAUUUGCCUAGUGAUCGAAGGGGCUCUAAAAUCAAUAAUUUAAUGGUCGUGGUAGCCGGUUGCAAGUUUAACGGUGUAGAAAUAUCCAAAUCACGUGAAAUUUUGAUAGAAAAUUCUUUAUACCAUAUAAAACAAGAUCAAUAACUUUGAUCUAAAAUUUUAAUGUCAUAUCAUCAAAGUUUGUAAGAUUUUUAUUUUCAGCCGUUGAUUUGGGCCACUUCGAUCACUAGGCAAAUGAUAUCAAAAAAUCACAAAAUUUAUUUUCUAGAUACUUCAAAUACUCUAGAUCAAGUCUAACGAAGCCGAUCGUCGAUUCGAAAGUCCGAACAUCGAAAACAAAGUGGAAGCACGGAGCCCUCCGUGCUUCCAUAAGCAUCCUAGCCGCACUCUAUAUAGAUAUAUAGAAUUGAGCUAGAAUAUUUUUACAAAUAUUACCCCCUUGGUGCUUUUAGGUUUUAGCCCUUGUAUCUACUCCUUGAUUACUAAUAGCUUUUGGAUCAAACACUAUUCCAACUAUCACCACCUACCACCACCCACCACCAUCAUCCCAACCUUAUAUUUCUCCAUCUAAGGGUUAAAAACUCACAAGCACCAAUCUUUUGGUGCUUUUGAGAGUAUUCUAGCUCAACUAUAUAUAUAUAUAUAUAUAUAUAUAUAUAUAAUUGACCUCGUAUGCUUUUAAAAAUAUCAAGUUAUUGGUGCUUGUAAAUUUUUGACCAUUGGAUUAAAGGAUGUGCGGUUAGGAUGAUGUGAGCCCCCUAAGGUUGAUUGGGUGGUUGGUUGAAUAGUAUAAUCUAACAGUUGAAAAUGAUCAAAGGUAUAGAUCUAACGGUAAAAAAUUUACAAACACCAAGUGCUUGGUACUUUUAUAAGCACCAUAGCCGGACUAUAUAUAUAUAAUUAGACUGGAAUACUAUCAAUAGCACCAAGCUAUUGGUGCUAUUAAUUUUUUAGCCCUUAAAUUGAGAAAUAUGUGGUUAGAAUGAUGUGGACCCCCUAGGGUUGAGUGGGUGGUUGGUUUAAUAAUAUAAUCUAACGGGUAAAAAUAAGCAAAGUGUUAAAUCUAACGGUGGAAAACUCGAUAGCACCAAAUUCUCGGUGCUAUUAAUAGUAUCCCAGCCGGACUCUAUAUAUAUAUAUAUAUAUAUAUAUAAUCCUAAAGGGCAAAAAGGUUUUACACUCUAAUUCUGAAGUUGACCAAAAUCCAAAAUGAUUAUAGUUUUAAAAAACAAAUUAAUGGAACAAGUACAAAAUGAUGACCCUUCAAUGAAGAAGGUGUAAAAUAUGCAUUUUAUUUUGUAGUGUUCCAAUAGUAUUGGUCAUAAAUGUAUAUAUGAGAAAUGCUACUUAUACACAUCACUUUUAGAAGUAUAUCUUGCAUCCUCUUUAUCCAAGGAUUAUCUUUUUCUAUUUGUCACACCAUGAUGAUUCCUAUUGGCACGGUAUGGUACAAUGCAUGUCAGACUUACCGAUGUGUGCUGAUCAUAAAAAAUUCAUAUGUACCGAUACAUAAUAGUAUGCAAUAUUUAUUUUUUUUACCAACAAAAUAUUCUAACAGUUUAUUAUGUACGUACUUUUUGUUAAAUCUUUUGAAUUUUAUUUACUUACUAAUUAAAAGAAUUGAGAGCUUUAAAAUGUGCUAUUGACACAGGGUUGUAUCGUGCCGAUAUCUUAUUGGUACGAUACGACACGAUAUAUACGGCGCGUACCGAUGGACACUUAAAUUCAUGGCUCAUAUAUAUGUAAAUGAGAAAUGCUACUCAUACACAUCACUUUUAGAUGUACAUCUUGCAUCCUCUUCAUGUGGGGAGAGACGGUUGCCGGUGCCGCGGCCGCUGCUAUGGCGAUUCCUGGGGGGCGAAGCUCCGACGUCGCGGCAUCACUGGAGGUGCCACAGCCGCAGCCGCGGCCGUUUCUACGCAGCAGCAGCCUCUGCCGUCUCCUCCCACCUCUCCUUCUCCUGCUCUUCCCGCUCCUUCCUGCUCUUUCCGUAGCAGCAGCCUCUGCCACCUCCUCUCAGCCUUUCUUUUUUUUUUUUCAGCGUCGCGCCGGAGCCGCCCCAGCCUUCGCUCCUUCCAUCCCCCACACGUCCCCUACCAUUCCUACGCGGCCUGUUUUAGCUUCAUCCGGCGGAGGUGGAGGCGGAGGCGGAGGUGGCGGGAGACCCUUCUCUUUCUUUUUUUCUUGCUCUCUUUUUUUUUUCCUUUCUCUUUUUCCAUAUUCUUAUAAAACCAGUCAAAUAACUUUUUCGCCUGGCUUAAACGUUUUUGCUUUUUCCACCGGGCGAAAAUGUUAUUAUUAUUAUUAUUAUUAUUAUUAUUAUUAUAACUACACUAUUUAUUCUCUAAUAUUGAGAACCNNNNNNNNNNNNNNNNNNNNNNNNNNNNNNNNNNNNNNNNNNNNNNNNNNNNNNNNNNNNNNNNNNNNNNNNNNNNNNNNNNNNNNNNNNNNNNNNNNNNNNNNNNNNNNNNNNNNNNNNNNNNNNNNNNNNNNNNNNNNNNNNNNNNNNNNNNNNNNNNNNNNNNNNNNNNNNNNNNNNNNNNNNNNNNNNNNNNNNNNNNNNNNNNNNNNNNNNNNNNNNNNNNNNNNNNNNNNNNNNNNNNNNNNNNNNNNNNNNNNNNNNNNNNNNNNNNNNNNNNNNNNNNNNNNNNNNNNNNNNNNNNNNNNNNNNNNNNNNNNNNNNNNNNNNNNNNNNNNNNNNNNNNNNNNNNNNNNNNNNNNNNNNNNNNNNNNNNNNNNNNNNNNNNNNNNNNNNNNNNNNNNNNNNNNNNNNNNNNNNNNNNNNNNNNNNNNNNNNNNNNNNNNNNNNNNNNNNNNNNNNNNNNNNNNNNNNNNNNNNNNNNNNNNNNNNNNNNNNNNNNNNNNNNNNNNNNNNNNNNNNNNNNNNNNNNNNNNNNNNNNNNNNNNNNNNNNNNNNNNNNNNNNNUCCGACUCUCCUCCACCGUCUCCGACGACGAUGCCUUUCUCGUCCUUCCUCGCCCUUCUCGUCCUCUUCCUCUCCACCCUCCUCUGCCGUCUCCGACGACGACGCAUCUUUGCCGGCGCCGACGCCGACACCGUGGAGGUCACUACGGCGCUGCAGCCUCGGAGCGGGGGGUCCUUAGCGGCAUCGUCGCCGGCGCCGUGGCCGUUGGCAGAGAGGGGUGACAAAAAAAAAUUAUUAAAGAAACAAGAAAAAAAAUAAAGAUAAAAAUUUAUAAAAAAAAAAUAUGAAGAUGAAAUUGUAUCGUUAACUAUAAAAAAAAAUUAAAAGUUGUAUUAUUUAAGAUGUAAACUGCAGCUUUAAGAUGAAAAUUACACUCUUUAAACGAAAAUUACACUAUUUGGGAGAUAUUUAUACUGUUUCUCUUCUUAUUGCACACUUUCAGAUGUAAACUGUAUCCAUUAAGAUGAAAGUUACACUCUUUAAACGAAAGUUGCACUCUCUUUGAGAGAUAUUUACAUUGUUUCUCCUAUUCUUGCAUUCUUUGAGAUGUAAAUUGCACCCCUUCAAGAGAUAUUUAUACUGUUUCUCCUCUUGUUGCACUAUUUCUCCUCUUGUUAUACUAUUUUUUAUCUUAAACUGCACCCUUUAAGAGAAGAAACAGUGUAAUAAGAGGAGAAAUAGUGCAACAAGAGAAAAAAUAAUACAACAAGAGAAGAAACAAUAUAAAUAUCUCUUGAAGGGGUGCAGUUUACAUCUCAAAAAGUGCAAGAAUAGGAGAAACAGUGUAAAUAUCUCUCAAAGAGUGCAACUUUCAUUUAAAGAGUUUAACUUUCAUCUUAAUGGAUGUAGUUUACAUCUAAAAGAGUGCAAUAAGAGGAGAAACAGUAUAAAUAUCUCCCAAAGAAUAUAAUUUUCGUUUAAAAAGUGUAAUUUUCAUCUUAAAACUGCAGUUUACAUCUUAAGCAGUGCAACUUAUAAUUUUUUUUAUAGUUAAAGAUGCAAUUUCAUUUUUAUCCUUUUUUUCUAUAAUUUUUUAUCUUUAUUUUUUUUCUUGUUUCUUUUAUAAUUUUUUUGGUCACCAGUCUUUGCCAACAGCCAUGGCGCCGGCGACGAUGCCGCUAAGGACCCCCCGCUCCAAGGCUGCAGUGCCGCAGCAACCUCCACGGUGUAGGCAUCGACGAAGAUGCGUUGUCGUCGGAGGCGACAGAGGAGGAGGGAGAUGGAGAGGACGAGAAGGGCGGGGAAGGGCGAGAGAGGCGUCGUCGUUGGAGAUGGUGGAGGAGAAUCGGAGAGGGAAAAAAAAAAAAAAAAAGAGUUGCAGCACGGUCUCGGUGGGUUCGGAGGCGAGGAAGGUGGGGGGUGCGUGGGCGAGGGCAAGGGCGAGGGCGAGAGCGUGAGGGUGAGAGGCGAGGUGGACCAUUUCCGCCUCCGCCUCUGCCUCCGCUACUUUUUUCGGCGAGAGAAAAAAAAAAGACGAGAGAAACGAAGAGGAGAGAGAAAAAGGAGAGAGAAAAAGUAAUAAUGGUAUUUUGGUCAGUUUGCUGAAAAUUCGGAUCGAAUCUGCAAAAUAAAAAAAGGUGGCCCAGUUUUGCAAAAGCCCAAAAUUAGUGGAUUUUUUAUGCAAAUUGGCCUUUUAUGAAUUUAGGAUGGGAAAUGUAAAAUUUAUAAUCCCUUUUGGCGUAUGUGUGUGUGUGUAUAUAUAUAUAGAGAGAGAGAGAGAGAAAGAGAGAGUAGGUCUUGUGUGUUAUUAGGAGCACGGAGGCCUCCGUGUUCUAAGCUAUUUUCGAUGAUGGGACUUCCAAAUCAACGAUCGACUUCUCUAGACUUUAUCUAGCGUAUUUGAACUUAGGUACGGUGUCUAACGACACUUUUAAAUGUCGGUACAAGUCAAAAAAAGUGCUACUAGUUAAAUUACAGACACUUUUUAAAAGUGUUGUUAUAUGCGGGGUUGCUAUAAGUAGGGCCGCCUUAAUAUUUGGUACACACUCCUCCAGCGACCUAUGGCGGGGGAUAUGUGGCGAUCGUAGCCCUCUACGGCCGACCGAAUUCCAGCCGUCGGAAUCUUAUCUCGUCGGCUACGGCGGCAUAGCAGGAGAAGGGGAGAUGGUGUUCAAUUUUUUUUUCCUGGUUAUUUGUAAUCGAGCCGAGUGGGCUGGGUGUGGUUGGUUGAGUACAGAAACAUUUUGUUUUUGAUUGUAUUGGACUCUAUAUUUAGGCAUUAUUAAAUUUUUUAAAAAAAUUUUGGUAUAAAUGGGACACUUAUAUAAAAGUGUCCAAAAAAUGUAUCCUUAUAAUCUAAUUCUGUUGUAAUGUAAUAGACCCAAAGGGGCUAUGGCCCUCUCAACUUUUCAAUAUUUGCUUUGCAGUCCUUUGGUAGGUUAUAAAUUUUUAGUUAAUUUAAAAUAUAUGGGGCUUUAUUAUAAAAAGUUUUUAAUGUUAGUAUAGAGCUCUCUUUUUCCUUAUGUGUUUUAUAGGUGAAAAUACGCUAAAAACCUCUUAAUUAUAGUGCAUUUUAGAAUAAGUUCUUUCAACUUUAAAUAUUUUAUUUAUACAUUCUUAACUUUCUAAUUAUUUUUUAUGAGUUAAUUUAUUUAACUAAAUAAAAUAACUUGCUAAAUUUAAUAGUUCUAGUAGAUAUUAGUCAUGAAUUGUUAUUAUUUUAUUAACAAAAAUUAAAAAAAUUAAUUCGAACUAAAUUACUAUUAGAUUUAGAAAAAUUCUUAAGUUAUUUGAUUAAAAUAAGAUAAAUAUAAUAAUUAGAAGUUAAGAAAGUGUAAAUAACGAAAUAAAUUUAAUAUUUUUUAACAUUAAUUAUCUAAUCACUAAAUUUUUUUAUUAAAAAUUUUAGUUAAACUUUUAUUUAUUUGUUAAAAUUUUUCUUUGUACAUAUUUUGGCCCCCGUCGUUAUUGAAUCCUGGCUUCGUCCCUAUUUGAACUAUCUAGAAAAUAAAUUUUGUGAUUUUUCAAAAUUAUUUACCUAGUGAUCGAAAUGACACAAAAUCAACGGUUGAAAAUAAAAGCCUCACAAAAAGUUAUAAUGUAACACUAAAAUUUUCAAUAAGAGAUAUUAAUCUUGUUGUAUAUGGUAUAAAGAAUUUUCUAUCAAUUUCAUCUGAUUUGAAUACUACUACACCAUUAAACUUCCAAACACUAUACAUCAACCAUUAAAAAUUAUUUAGUUUAAACCCUUUCGAUCACUAGGUAAAUGAUAUCAAAAAAUUGCAAAAUUUAUUUUCUAAAUACUUCAAAUACGCUAUAUCAAGUCUAACGGAGGUGAUUGUCGGUUCAAAAAUUUCAUCAUCGAAAACGGCUUAAUUAGGAGCACGGAGGUCUCCGUUCUCCUAACAGCACACAAGAUACUAAUAUCAUCCUAACUCUACAAUUUCUCAUCCAAGAGUUAAAAAUUUGAUAGUAAAAAAUCAAAUACUAUCAAUAGUAUUUCAGCCCAACUCUGUAUGUGUAUAGAAAGAGAGAGAGAGAGAGAGAAAGAGAGAGUACAUUUCAUAUGCUUUCGAAAGUACGGAGGUAUUCAUACUUGUAAGUUAUUUUCGAUGAUGAGACAUUAGAUUUGACGAUCGGCUCCGUUAGAUAUGAUCUACGCUAUUAGAAUUAUUUAAAAAUAAAAAUUUAUAAUUUUUGACAUCAUUUACUAAGUGAUCAAAGGGUAUCAAAAAUAACUAUUUUUAAUGACUGAUGUGGGCACGUUUAGAUGUUAAUUUUAUGCAUGCAUGAUAAACUUUAGGGUGCGUUUGGUUCGCAUUAUGAAAGAUUACUAGGAAUAAAAGAUAUCCGAGAAUCUUAUUCCUAUCCAUCCUAUUACUAAGAAUGUGAAAUUUCUGUAUUUGGUUCGCACGGUAAUAUUAAUUAGCCAUGUUAUUUAAUAUUAUAAAAAAUAUACAAUUUAUUUAUUUAUUUAUUUAUUUAUUUAAUUUUAGAUAAUGUUACCAAAAGUUUCAACAUCUAUUUAGAAAAAAGGAAGAGAGAAGGUAUAAGUUAGAGAGAUAGAGCAUAAUUAAACAAAUAGAAAGAAAAAUAUAGUCGAAAUUAGAGGGAGUGAGAGAGUUGAAAUUUUAGAAAGAGAGAGAGAGAGAGAGAGAGAGAGAGAGAGAGAAAGCUUAGUUUAGAGAGAGAAAAAAAAGUUGAAUUUUAGAGAGAAAAAUAAGUUUAGAGAGAGAUAUAAGGUUAGAGUGUAAAGAAAAAUAAUAUCAAUUAGCCGACGGGUAGGAACAAAGAAAGAGAUUAGACAUAUUAUGAUUACCCCAAUCCAUUAAUAUAAGAAUACCCACCCUCCCUCAAGAGAAUGAGAUUAGUAUUUUGGGGUGAAUCUUAUUCCCAAGUGAAUCCAAUAUUACCAACUAGAUUACUUAGUGCGUUUAGCCAAACACCGUCAUAUUUUUUUAUUCCCAUUGGAUUACUAGGAAUCUUUAAAAGAUAGUGCGAACCAAACACACCCUUAAUAUAAAUUUAAAGGAUUACGAUCUUUGGUUUCUUGAUACUCCAAUUUCUCUAUAUCAUAUCUGAUAGCUCGCAAAUGGCUGGAGAAAAAAAUAUUACUUUUGAAAAGUUGACCUUAAAAGUGAUUUUUGAAUUAAAUUGCUAGUUUGACUAUAAAUAGAAAAUAGAAAAUUGCACUUAAAUUUGAAUUCAAAUUCAUAUAUUGAAUAAAAUUUAAAUUAGCAGUUGACCUGAAAUUUUGAAUUCAAAUAUGAAUUCAUAAUUUGAAUUGAAAUUCAAUUUUGAAUUCACAUUUCAAAAUGAAUGAUUGAACUCAUUAUUCAAAUUUAAAUUCCUAAUGUAAACUUUAAAUGGAGAUUAAAUUCAUAUUCAAAACAACAUAAAAAUUUAAAUUCUAAUUCUAAUUUGAAUUCAUAGCUUGGAUGUAGAGUAAAAUUCAAAAUUUGAUUAAAAUUUUUUAAUUAAAAUUUCACUGCUCAAUUUAAUCUUAAAUUUUAAAUUUCAAAAUAAAUGUAAUUUUAAAUUUAAAUUUAUAAUAUAUAUACAGAGAGAGAGAGAGACAGAGAGAGAGAGCUAGGCUCCUACACUUUCGAAAGUACAGAGGCCUCUGUCUUUGUAAAUUAAUUGUUUUCGAUAAUGGGGUAGCCGAUUCGGCGAUCGGCUUAAUUAGACAUGAUCUACACUAUUGGAAUUAUUUAGAAACUAAAUUUUAUAAUUUUUUGACUUUAUUUGCCUUGUGAACGAAGAGACUCAAAAUGGACGGAUGAAAAUAAAAAUCUCACAAAAACUAGUGAUAAAAGACUCAAAUUUAAAAUCGGAAGUAUUGUUUUUUCUCUUGAUAUUAAGUAGAAUUUUCUAUUAAAGUUUCAUAUAAUUUGGAUUCUUCUACACCGUUGAACUGUCAAAUGUGCCACAUCAGCCGUUAAAAUAGUCAUUUUUUAGACUCUUUGAUCACUUGGUAAAUGAUGUCAAAAAAUUAUGAAAAUUUGGUUUCUAAAUAGUUAUAAUAUCGUAGAUCAUGUUUCAAAUGCUCUAUUAUCAAAAAUAACUUACAACCAUGGAGGCUUCGGUACUUUCGAAAGUGUAGGAGAUGUGCUCUCUCUCUCUCUCUCUCUCUCUCUCUCUCUCUCUCUCUCUCUCUAUAUAUAUAUAUAUAUAGUUGAGCUAGAAUACUCUCAAAAGCACCGAGAGGGUGGUGCUUUUGAGUUUUUAGCCAUUGGAUGGAGAGAUGUAAGGUUGGGAUGAUGGUGGUAGGUGGUGGUAGAUGGUGGUAGGCGGAAUAGUGUUUAAUCAAGGGCUAUUAGUAAUCAAGGAGUAGAUCUAAGGGCUAGAAACGUAGAAGCACCACGGGGUUGGUGCUUCUAAAAGUAUUCUAGCUCAAUUCAUGAUAUAUAUAUAUCAUGAAUUGAGCUAGAAUAUUCACAAAAGCACCAAGAGGGUUUGUAGCCUUUGGAUGGAGUGAUGUAAGAGUAGGAUGAUGGUGGUAGGUGGUGAUAGAUGGAAUAGUUUUGAUUUAAGGGAUAAUUGCCUAUAUACCCCUCAGGCGUUUGAAAAUAUUCGAUUUACCCCUACUUUUUUUUCUUUCGAAAAUAUCCCACAUAUGUUCCACCGUUAUUGCAAAAUACCCCCGCAGUUAUCUUCUGUUAAGUUAACUUGGAUAAAACUUGAGUUAAAUAUCUAUCACAGUUAAAAAAAAAAUUAAAAUACCAAUUUUGCCCUUAACUUAAAGGCAAAUAAGAAAUGUUGGUGACGGUAAAGGGGUAAAGUGGAAAAGACCAAAAACUUUUUGUGCCCUUGACUUUAAGGGCAAAUAAGAAAGUUAGUGAUGGUGGAACGUAGAAAGGGUAUUUUCAAUAUUAGCCUUUUAAGAGGGGUAAAUCAGAAAGUCGAAAAUUUUUCAGGAAUAUAAAAGUAAUUGCCCCUUGAUUUAAAAGCUAUUAUUAGUCAAAAAGUAGAUUUAAGGGUUGGAAACCUAGAAGCAUAAGGGGUUGGUGCUUCUAGAUGUAUUCUAGCUCAAUUCUAUAUAACUUAGCGAGUAUAGAAAGUUAUCUAAUUAUAUGAGAUGACAAAAUAAUAACAAAAUAAUAACUAGAAGAUAAAGCCAAAACAUAUUUGAAUAAUAAAAGAGAAAACAGAUUUUUUUUCAGUGGAGCAGUGAUCAAAUUCAAUGCAAAUGAAUCAUACGAAUUUUAACUAAUCGGCAGUUUUAUGAAGAGCAAUACUACUUGUACAUUAAAAAAAUAGAGUAUAAAUUUUUAAUGCAUUGGUCUAGAAGUUUAAACACCUCUCUGAAUAUUUAAUAUACUAAAACAAUAUUGAUAAGACUAGUAUAAAAAUAUUGACCUUUGGAUGUAUAAAUAUCAGAUUUAUUUGUACUGUAGAAGUGUAAAUAGCAUUAAUUGCUCUUUGAAACGUUUGAAUUAAUAUCAUAACUAAUUCAGUUACUAGCAUCACCUUGAGUUGUUAGCAAUGGAUAUGAUGUGCCAGGUUUUGAAAUUAAUAAUCAUCUUAAAGUUACCAACCAAUCCUAGCGCAAGUUGUAAAGGAUUUGACGGUUGGUAUAUGAGAUUUUAAGUUCGAAAUUUAUUUGUUUCGUAUUUUUAACUAAAUUUAUUUUUUUUAAAAAUAAGCGAAACUAGUAGCAUACUAUCUUUCUAGCUAACAAUAAUAGUUGCAUAUGACCAAUCGUCCCUAGAGCAAAUGGUAAAGGGCUUGGUGGUUGGUAUCCGAAACUCAAGUUCGAAUUCUAGUUGAUUCACAUUUUCCAGCUAAGUUUAUUUCUAAAUGAAAUAAAACGAAACAGGUCCUAUCACUCAAAAAAAAUAAUAGUUGCAUAUGGGAGACAACAUAAAAUCUUAUAAACUGUAUAUAAUAUGGUAAAUAUCUUCACCUAUCAGUUAAAGCAUUUCGGUUGGAUUCGAAUCCUUUAUCAUGCUAUCAAUGAUCCAAACCUCUUAAUUUCUUACCAGCCCCAUGACCAUGUUCCAGUACCAUGUAGCAAGCUAUCAAGAUACGAUGUUAAAAUUAAUAUUUCUUUAUUGUGUACAAAAUGGAAAUUUGAUCUGCGCAUAACGUAGAGGAUACCUCACCUUAUCAACUAACUUAAUAAUGACCAUGCUAGAUUGGUGCCACUGCAUGGUGAGGCCUCUGGCGUUCCAAGGAGGCGUUCUCGAUCUUUUAGCAAACUUAGUUAUUAUUGAUAUAAAGGUGGGGGAGAUGUAUGUAGUUUAACAAGAGCAAUGAUACCAAGAGUAAAAAAAGUAAUUUUUCACUAUCUAGGUCAGGCAGGCACGUUUCCAGGCGUAAAUUUUUGCUGUGUAGGAAGUAGGCUGUAGGCACCGUAUCAGUUAAUUAAGUGGUCCGCACAUCUAUAAUUACGUUAAUUAAUUAAAUAUAAAAUACAUAAUAAAUCAUCAUUAAAUCUGGCUUUAAUGUUACCACCUGUAUUUUAUAACGGACCCAAGUUUCAGCUGCCAAGUGUCGACACCCGGCAUCUUCCGGAGACCCGCUUGGCUUGUUUGGAUGCAUGGAUAUUUGUUUUGACACAUUUUUUAUUUACUCGGUAAAAUUAAUGCUAUAAUUAGUAGUUGCAAAAUUGGUAGUGACAAUUUUGAAAAAUAUCUAUGAUAUUUUAUAAGUUUGAAACCGCCUCUAUAUUUAAUUGAUGAUAAGACAAAUAUAUUUAUUCUUACUUAACUUAGUUUAUAAACAAUUGGAUUAUAAUUAUGUCAUUAAUAUGAAAUUAUUAUUAUGUCCUUAACAGGAAAAAUUUUAGAAUACAACGGGUAUAUUAGUGACGUGGCGUAACAAACCAAUCAAAUUAAUCCUUUUAAAAAUAUAUGACCUAUCAUGAUUGUAAAAAAGUAUUUUUAUUAUACUUUUGUUUGAAAGAAGAAAUGUGAUUGACUUGUUAUUGAUAACGUGGUGCAAGUGUGAUAGUGUAAAAUUCCUCCCUUCACAGACAGUGUUGGAGCGCUCCCUUCUACUCUAGUACAUGUUUUUCUUGUUGGUAAACUUCAAAUAGUUAUUGGCGCAUGGGGCUUAGCUCUUUUUUACUUUAUCAUUUUUUAAUGUAAAAUUUUUACUUUUUACUUUUAUGAUUUAAUUUUUAUUUGUCAAAAAAAUUAUAUGAAACAGAAUAAUAAAGUAAACUUUUUAAAAAAAUUACAAAGUGGGAAAGCAAAAAAAGGCACUAAACUAUGGGGAGACAAAUGUAACUUUAUGAACCAUUGUAUAACAAAAUGAAAAUGAGUUAAACGACAAGGGUGCAAAAUAAAAUUUUUUGAACUAUAGGAUGAUAAAAUGAGCUUAAUCACAAGUAAGCAAUUUAAAGUUUUCCUUUUUUCUAAACAAAAAGCAAAGUCUAAAUAUUUAAUGUGAGAAAAAAUUAUCAUAUUUUUGGAGGAAUGUGUCCCAUAUAAAAGUGUCAAUGAGCUGAACACAAGCGAGUUAGGACCAGCUCGUGCUCGACUCGUUUCAUAAACGAGCCGAACACAAAUAGGCAUGUUAAAGUAUUGAGCCGAAAAUUUCAGUUCGUAUUCGGCUCGUUUAUUAAUAACCUAAACACUUGGUGGCUCACGAAUAAUAAGUUAAAAGAAUUAGAAAUGAUAUAUAUAUAUAUAUAUAUAUAUAUAUAUAUAUAUAUAUAUAUAUAUAUAUUAGUUAUAUAUAGAGCCUAGGGUUACUAUCGGUAGCACGGGGGCUCACGUGCUACCAAGUUGUUUCAUUAUACGGUUUCAAAUCGACGAAUCGGCUUCGUUAGACUUGAUCUACACUAUUGAAAGUAUUUGGAACUAAAAUUUCAUAAUUUUUCGGCACCAUUUACCUAUCAAACGAGUAGUCUAAAAUGAACGGCUGAAAUAAAAAAUCUCAUAAAAAAUGUGAUAAAAGACUUAAAUUUAG
Molecule: long non-coding RNA, 19833 nt
Filed under: Ananas comosus (pineapple)
Lineage: Eukaryota; Viridiplantae; Streptophyta; Magnoliopsida; Poales; Bromeliaceae
Description: long non-coding RNA (ACOM_LNC016500)
Source: RNAcentral